GUGGGGAAUUUUGGACAAUGGGGGCAACCCUGAUCCAGCCAUGCCGCGUGCGGGAAGAAGGCCUUCGGGUUGUAAACCGCUUUUGUCAGGGAAGAAAUCCUUUGGGUUAAUACCUCGGAGGGAUGACGGUACCUGAAGAAUAAGCACCGGCUAACUACGUGCCAGCAGCCGCGGUAAGACGUAGGGUGCAAGCGUUAAUCGGAAUUACUGGGCGUAAAGCGUGCGCAGGCGGUUUUGUAAGACAGGUGUGAAAUCCCCGGGCUCAACCUGGGGACUGCACUUGCGACUGCAAGGCUAGAGUGUGUCAGAGGGAGGUGGAAUUCCGCGUGUAGCAGUGAAAUGCGUAGAGAUGCGGAGGAACACCGAUGGCGAAGGCAGCCUCCUGGGAUAACACUGACGCUCAGGCACGAAAGCGUGGGGAGCAAACAGGAUUAGAAACCCCGGUAGUCC
RNAcentral lists this ribosomal RNA (450 nucleotides) under uncultured bacterium. RNAcentral's name for it is "bacterial SSU rRNA". It matches the Rfam family "Bacterial small subunit ribosomal RNA", at positions 354 to 796 of the family's 1533-position model. The record is from RNAcentral.